This 125-nucleotide microRNA precursor is filed under the name Myotis brandtii (Brandt's bat). Its description in RNAcentral is "mir-9193 microRNA precursor family". Lineage: Eukaryota; Metazoa; Chordata; Mammalia; Chiroptera; Vespertilionidae. The record is from Rfam by way of RNAcentral.
CGUGCACCAGUGGGGUCCCUUGGCCUGGCCUGCGGGAUCGGGCUGAAACUGGCUCUCUGACAUCCCUGAAAGGUCCCGGAUUGCAAGAGGGCGCAGGCCAGGCUGAGGGACCCCACUGGUGCACA